This 210-nucleotide ribosomal RNA is filed under the name uncultured bacterium. RNAcentral describes it as "partial 16S ribosomal RNA". It matches the Rfam family "Bacterial small subunit ribosomal RNA", at positions 568 to 774 of the family's 1533-position model. The record is from RNAcentral.
CUCGUAGGCGGCCAACUAAGUCACACGUGAAAUCCCUCAGCUUAACUGGGGAACUGCGUGUGAUACUGGAUGGCUUGGAUCCGGGAGAGGGAUGCGGAAUUCCAGGUGUAGCGGUGAAAUGCGUAGAUAUCUGGAGGAACACCGGUGGCGAAGGCGGCAUCCUGGACCGGUAUUGACGCUGAGGAGCGAAAAGGCCAGGGGAAGCAAACG